CAGAGGCGCACCCAGGAGCACGGGAUGCACGGGCUUUCCUGGGGUCCUUCCUGAGCUCGCUGCUAAAGCAGGCCACCUCCUUGCUGUGGAGAGAGCUAGCCCAAGGAAAGGGCACGGGGGCUGGCGAGGACCAUGCCUGAGGUGGCCUUUCUCAAAUGGGUUGGCACAGAAGCCAGCGAGGCACCCGUCGGCACAGAGUGACGCGGGGGGUUCGUCCCCGUGUUCUGCUUUGUGAGGUGAAGGGGUCAGAGCUAAGAGUGAGAAAGCUCCCAUCCGGGUCCCGCCGUCUCCGGGCGGCCGCCGAUCACCGGGACUGGACGCAGAGCUCGGAGACGCCCAGGGCGAGACUGCAGCGGAGAGGGAAGAGAGAGCCGCGGCCCUUGAGGAUUAGGUAGUGGUUGCCGAGGCCGAGUGAGCACCCUUCAAAGCAACCAAGGAAGAGGAGGCCUGGGUCCCUCUUCUGCCUCGCUGACCCAGGUCACGGGGAGGGGACAACUGUGGAAACGGAACCGGAACAGGAAAUGAGCAGGACCAUUGAUAACGUGGGGAGUGGUCGGCAAGGAAACGGCACGCGCGGGAUCCCGAGCAACAGCAGACCCAGACCGGCACCUGUCGCUUCCGGGCCCCCUCCGGCCUGUCAGGUGGUGCUCUGCGGGCUACGUGCCGAGCAAUGGCCCAGAGGCCAGUUAAAGCCCUGAGAGGCUGUUUUAAAGACGGAUGGGGACAUAGCUCACAUUUCCCACUUUGUCCUAGCCCCCACUUUGAAUGUGUCUGCUCUUCGACUUCUGACUUUUACGAGUUUCGGGAUUUGUUACUUUUUCGCGGCACUCCACUGGUAGAACACUCAUUCAGAGGAAGUGUGUGUGCACUUGCUUUCUCCGGGGUGUGAAAGGGGUAUGCAGAGCUGCCCCUGACUGAAACAGGAUGCGUUUAAGCCCUGCCGUUCAUGCCGGUGCUUUCCAAUAGCUAGAACUCGGCAGCCUCCCCAGGACAGAGAUUCUCCCACACUCUAUCCAUAAACUGUGCCUUUAAAAAACAUAUGCUAAGAAGAAGGGAAAGGAGAAAAAAGAGGGCCUCCACUUUUAACUUGGGCUCUUUUAUUUAUACUAUUUCUAAGACAAGGCAAAUUAUCAUAAUCUUCCUUACAGACACACAGUUCCACCUAAGAAUUACCAUUUACCUCAGCUAGGGGAGAGCACAGUUUCUAUUAGAUGCUGAGAUAAAUCAUUUGUAUGUGCUCCUCUGUGCUCCCUGGCAACUCUUUGUGAAUUUCAAGCUUAAAAAUAAUUCCUGGGCUCAGGUCCGUGCCAGUAUUCUAAUGUGGAUUAUUUGUACUGCUCUGCUGGUGCCAGUUCUUUUGAUGUAAUCAUUAUCCCUUACGGGCUGGCACUAGUCCAGUCACCAACUGAUGAAACGAGCCACCAUCCCACCUGAGAAUAUCGAUGAUGUUUUGAAAGCAGGCACUUUGAUUCAUGUAGAAACUCCGUCUAUGUAUCCCGGUGUUUUCAUAAAGACUCUCUUAUUUACUCUAAACAGGGUUAUGCCUUUUGCUGUGGGGCCUUGUGGCAACUGUUUAACCAUUUCAGAUAUUUUUUAGAAAUCUGAAGAAGAGAAAAUUCAGCCUCAAGAAUACAUCUCUCUGUUCUUCACAAAAUCAGGUCCUCUCUUGCUGAAAUGAGGCAAAGCCCCCAAGUUGAGUUUAACUGGCUAAGUGCCGUGCUCUGUCUGAGGCAGCAAAGCAAAGCACUCUCUGCAGGCCGAAUGCGCAUCCCUGACUUUUCCUCCCCACCUGUCUGGGCAGACAUCAGAGCAGAACCAAGCUCCUCCUGCGUCCACAGUCAGCAGGGCUGCUGCAGGAGGAGCAGGAUGCACACCCAGCCCCUCCACAGCUCCUCACUGUGGGGCGCCUGGGCCCAACGUCCCCGCGAGUCCAGGGGACACAGAGAGGUCAAGUGAGCCCGCGUUCAGCCUCCACC
Molecule: long non-coding RNA, 1976 nt
Filed under: Heterocephalus glaber (naked mole-rat)
Lineage: Eukaryota; Metazoa; Chordata; Mammalia; Rodentia; Bathyergidae
Description: lncRNA (ENSHGLG00100050299.1)
Source: RNAcentral